RNAcentral lists this microRNA precursor (81 nucleotides) under Microtus ochrogaster (prairie vole). RNAcentral describes it as "miRNA (ENSMOCG00000009330.1)". The record is from RNAcentral. Lineage: Eukaryota; Metazoa; Chordata; Mammalia; Rodentia; Cricetidae.
UCUGGGCAGAGCUGCAGGAGGGGAGAGCGGGGGCCGACAUCCGUGCCACCCUGCCACCUGCCCUGUCUCUUCGGCCCACAG